Molecule: ribosomal RNA, 1077 nt
Filed under: Acinetobacter baumannii
Lineage: Bacteria; Pseudomonadati; Pseudomonadota; Gammaproteobacteria; Moraxellales; Moraxellaceae
Description: bacterial SSU rRNA
Rfam family: Bacterial small subunit ribosomal RNA
Source: RNAcentral
CAGUCGAGCGGGGGAAGGUAGCUUGCUACCGGACCUAGCGGCGGACGGGUGAGUAAUGCUUAGGAAUCUGCCUAUUAGUGGGGGACAACAUCUCGAAAGGGAUGCUAAUACCGCAUACGUCCUACGGGAGAAAGCAGGGGAUCUUCGGACCUUGCGCUAAUAGAUGAGCCUAAGUCGGAUUAGCUAGUUGGUGGGGUAAAGGCCUACCAAGGCGACGAUCUGUAGCGGGUCUGAGAGGAUGAUCCGCCACACUGGGACUGAGACACGGCCCAGACUCCUACGGGAGGCAGCAGUGGGGAAUAUUGGACAAUGGGGGGAACCCUGAUCCAGCCAUGCCGCGUGUGUGAAGAAGGCCUUAUGGUUGUAAAGCACUUUAAGCGAGGAGGAGGCUACUUUAGUUAAUACCUAGAGAUAGUGGACGUUACUCGCAGAAUAAGCACCGGCUAACUCUGUGCCAGCAGCCGCGGUAAUACAGAGGGUGCGAGCGUUAAUCGGAUUUACUGGGCGUAAAGCGUGCGUAGGCGGCUUAUUAAGUCGGAUGUGAAAUCCCCGAGCUUAACUUGGGAAUUGCAUUCGAUACUGGUGAGCUAGAGUAUGGGAGAGGAUGGUAGAAUUCCAGGUGUAGCGGUGAAAUGCGUAGAGAUCUGGAGGAAUACCGAUGGCGAAGGCAGCCAUCUGGCCUAAUACUGACGCUGAGGUACGAAAGCAUGGGGAGCAAACAGGAUUAGAUACCCUGGUAGUCCAUGCCGUAAACGAUGUCUACUAGCCGUUGGGGCCUUUGAGGCUUUAGUGGCGCAGCUAACGCGAUAAGUAGACCGCCUGGGGAGUACGGUCGCAAGACUAAAACUCAAAUGAAUUGACGGGGGCCCGCACAAGCGGUGGAGCAUGUGGUUUAAUUCGAUGCAACGCGAAGAACCUUACCUGGCCUUGACAUACUAGAAACUUUCCAGAAAUGGAUUGGUGCCUUCGGGAAUCUAGAUACAGGUGCUGCAUGGCUGUCGUCAACUCGUGUCGUGAAAUGUUGGGUUAAAUCCCGCAACGAGCGCAACCCUUUUCCUUACUUGCCAGGCAUUUCGG